This 253-nucleotide ribosomal RNA is filed under the name uncultured bacterium. Its description in RNAcentral is "partial 16S ribosomal RNA". It matches the Rfam family "Bacterial small subunit ribosomal RNA", at positions 524 to 776 of the family's 1533-position model. The record is from RNAcentral.
UACGUAGGGUCCGAGCGUUGUCCGGAAUUAUUGGGCGUAAAGAGCUCGUAGGCGGUUUGUCGCGUCUGCUGUGAAAUCCCGAGGCUCAACCUCGGGCCUGCAGUGGGUACGGGCAGACUAGAGUGCGGUAGGGGAGACUGGAAUUCCUGGUGUAGCGGUGGAAUGCGCAGAUAUCAGGAGGAACACCGGUGGCGAAGGCGGGUCUCUGGGCAGUAACUGACGUUGAGGAGCGAAAGCGUGGGGAGCGAACAGG